GUUGCAGGUACGUAUUAUUUAUUAUUUGUUAAUAAUAUGUAAUAGGUACAUAACAAUAUUAUUUCGCAUGGAUGUUUUCUUUUAAAUGCUCAGAUUCUGAUUACAGCUAUAAUAAUAUUAUAAUUGUCGAAUGUUUGUGAUUUUUAUCAAGAUCAUACACAUUUCAACUUAAAAAAGUUAUAAAACAAAUUAUAGAAUAAUAUAGAAAAAUGUAGAUGUAAUUUGGGACUUUGUCAUAUUUAGAUGUUUAUUGGAUUGAUUACAGUAACUGUCAAGGCUGGGCAUUAACGAGUCAAAAAGUUAAAUUUAAGUUAUUUUUAACUAAUUUAGGUACAUAACGAGUUACAUUUUUUUUAGAAGUAGGUACCUAAUUUAUAACUUGACGAGUUAACUUUUUAUGCAGUAAAUCAAAAAUUAAUUAAUUGUAUUGUCACGUUUAGUAAUUUGUUUUCCUGAAACUACUGAUUCAAAAUAUAUUCCAUAAUGUAAUAAUUGAUUUUAUAUGAAUAAAAAAAUAAUAAUAUUAUGUUAUCGCAAAUAUCAAAUAUAUAGGUAAUAAAGGUAAUAAAGAUACUAUUAUUACAUUACUAUGUUAGUUUUAUAAAAAGGUAUAAUAAGUAAUUUAAUAAUAUGAAAAACGUAAGUAAUUUUUAAUUAAGUUAAGUUCCUUUUAAUUUAUAAUUACCUUGUGAAACUUACAAGUUAAAAAACAAAGGUAUCUUUUAACUUUGAACUUAGCUUUCAUUUUUCUUUACUAACUCAACUUAACGAGUUAAAAAAAUUAUUUGACUUGCCCGGCCUUGGUGACUGUAAAUAUUUCCAUUGCUUCGAAAUCAAAUCGUAUUGUUCAAUCAAAAACAAAAGUAGCCAAAUUAUAAAAAUAGUUUCCCGGUGAUUAUUUUUAAACCAUAAUAUUUCAUAAUAAACCAUAAAUUAUAUUAUUAACAAUAAGUUAUAAAAUUAUAAUAAUUCAUUUUUCAUGCAGAUUUAAGUAAAUAUUAUUAUGUUUGACUAACUAAGAGUUUUACUAUUUUAACUGUGUGAAAUUUAAAAUUUGCAUUAACAAAAUGCAUGGAUUGGAACCAAAAUGUGCUUUAUCGAAUUUCUUUUCAAUCCACUUUUUAUAGUACGUAUAUUGUAAUGGUAAAUACACGUACUAAAACGGGCUUUCUCGUAACUACUAAGAAACAAAAAACACUUGGACGAACCAAUCGAUAACAUAGACUCUGGAGAUCAGCGAGUGUGACACAAAAGCAAGGCAAAACAUAACGCACGAAUGGUAAAAACCUACUAACGUCGACAUCCAAUGGAAUAUAAAAUCAGUUGCGAUUCACAGAAGAGUGUAGUAAGAGUGUCAAACUAUGUGAAAUACUUAGGAUUUACACUAGACUGAUUACUCAACAUGUGACUACAUAUCAUUUCAACAUCAACCUACAUUGUAUCCAGUGCUUUACCACCAAUGUACAAUUUCAUUAUUUGUUGAAAUUUCAAAAAUUAUGAUUUCCGUCAUAUCUACUACUUAUUCUUCAAUAUGCUGUUUCAGCCUGGGGGUCCCUUAUGUCCCCAAGCAAUUAAAUGAAAAUCUAGGAUUACGGACAAGAACAUAGAAGCUAAUAAAGGUAAAAUAUAAGACAAAAGGUUUCUUAUUCAGACGAGACACUUUUCUUCAUAAACUACUAUGCAGGGCAUAAUUUAAAGAAGUAUAAACAUUUAAAUUUUUAAUUAUUCUUUAAUUAGUUACAAAAUUAUAAUUAAUGAAUACAGUUAUCAAGUUUGUUUUUAAUAAAUAUUUAUAUAGAAUCAUUUUAGUUAUCAAUACUAUUGUUACAUCCCCAAAGUUCUUUCUAUGUAUUGUUAAAUAAACUAGAGAUUUGACCAUUUGACAAUCAUUAAAAUAGUUUACAAAAAGAGAUAAUAUAGUAAGAAGUUUCCUAAAGAAUUUUAUAUUUUUAAAUAGCAUAUUUUGGUUCCAAAUCUAUGAAAUGCUUUAUACUCUGAUGACUUAAAUGACCAAGUGCUAAUAUAUCAUACUAUAAUAUAUUUUACUAUAUAAGUAAACAUAAUUGAUCUUGUAUCGGCUUAUGAUUAUUGACGAUUGCAUUUUAAAUAAGCCAAUAUUAUAACAAUUAUGUUUAUAUGAUAGUAUUUGUUUCUUCCUAGGCCUUCGAUUUUAUAUUUUUAGUUACCUAAACAAUAAGGAUAUUACUUAAUAUUUUAUAAUUUAUUUUCCAGGUUGGAGUAUGAAACAUUUUUUGAGUUUUUAUUUUUCAUUGAUCUUUUUAAUUUAAAAUUGUUUUUAAUCAAUUGGAAAUCAUAAAAAUACAAUUUUCAAAUAUAUAAUACACUUUAGAGUUUAGACGUUAUAAAAUCUAUAAAUUAAGGUCGAGUGGGACUUUUCACAAAUGUAUAGUAAUGAGGUCAGCUAUAUUUUGUGUAGCUAUAAUUAUAUUAUUUUCUUGAUUUGCUCAUUGUCCUCAACUAAAAUGUUUGUAAAUUUAUUGAAAACUUUUCAAAUAAAUCAUUAGAUUAUUGCUACUUUAAUCAUAACAUCUAAUAAUGUUUUAUAAUUAUACUUAAAAAUGACUACUGGGUGUUUUAUUUCUAGAAGUCGGUAGUAAGUUGUUUUUAUAUUAAUUUAUUAUAGUUUACAUUUAGAUUAAUUUUACAUGUGUUUAUACUGUUUAUAGUUAAGAAUUCCAGUAUUUCUACCAUAUUAAAUAUAAUUCUAAUAGUUAAUGCUAAUUUUUAUGGAUCAACAUUCAAAACUUAGGAUUUCUAAGAAAAAACUGUAUGCAAUUGAUUAUAAAAUUUCAAAAUUUGUUUGUAAUUUUUAGUUAAAUCUAUGAUCUUAUAUCAAAACAAUAUUACGAACAUUUUAUAAUAAAUAAUAAUUAAUCACUACUGUUUUUAUUUUAUUCAAGCUAUCCUACGUACGUAAUAAUUUUUAUCAUAAUACGAUUGUCUUAUGGUCUUUAUUCUUAUUAAGUUUUCAAUUAAAAAAUAUAUUAUGGAUUUUCUAACGAUAUUUUGUCUAUUUAUGAACUGUAAACUAAACUAUAACUUUCCAAUUUAUUGCACAAAUAAUAUUAUAAUAUUAAAUUUGAAUAUCGCUAUAAAGUAAUUAUCUACCAAACUGAUGGGCUUACUACGCUGUAGAAUACAUAUUUUUUAAAAUUAAAUUUGUAACUAUAAAUUGUUUCAUAAUCAGUUUUUCGGUAAUGUGAUUCAACGUUUGCGCAUUGUUGGUCACCUAGGUAAAGCAUUUGGAGGUCAUUUACGCAUUGCGUGUUUAUAAAAUCAGUAAAUUUUAGAUAUAAGCUUAUUUUACACUACCUUAUGUAGUGAACAGUUAGCAGACUUCCCCGGGUUCAUUUCUUCGUAAUGGGUAUUAUAUCACAUUUAUUUAAAGCGUUCUUAUAUAGGCUAUGUUUUAACUUUUAACAUGGUUUCCAAAUUCUUUUUUCGGUAUUUAUAUUACAAAAUAAUAUCUAUUAUUUGUGGUUUCCGGUCUAUAUCAUCCUCAUGGAUAUUUCGUUGGAUAGUGGAAAUAUAAUAUUAAUCACUACCUAUGUAUUUUUUGUUUUGUUUUUUUUUUGUCAAUUACUGCAAUUAUUUAUGAAUAAUAUUAUAUUAAAAUAAAAUAAAAUAAAUGCAUGAAAACGCUUAACUUCCAUGGCGGGUCCUUGUGGAAUUCUUUGUAAUAAUAUAUUUUGUAGAAAAACAAUGAUUAGUUCAUCCGUUAAGUUCUUAGAAUGUGAAUUUUAAGGUUUAAUAUUAUUCAUUAUUUUAUUUCUAGAAAAAAAACAUGGAUUUGGAGUGAAAAUGGUACAAUCAUUUAUAUCAUUUGUACGAAUCGCCUAUGUAUUGAGGCAGAGAUUUGGAAAUGGAAAUAAUCCAGGCCUACAGCGUCCGGUUGAUUCCUACUGUAAUUCAGAUAAGAACACUACGUUUUUAAAAAAUGUGAAGUAACGUUUAUAUGUUUUACUUAAAUAUAUUUUGAUAAAUAUAAAUUAAAUUAUAUAAUACAAAAUUAUAUUAAGUCCAUAUGGACUUUAUUCUAAUUAUAAAUACAUUCCAACUACUGUAUUAAUUCGUACUAAAAUAAAAGCAAUAAUUUUGGCAAUAAAUAAUUAAACCUACAGGUACUGUAUAUUAUACUGUGUUGUAUCGUUUUUUCGUAUGAUUUAAUUCAAAUUUAACUUAUUCUUUAUCUAUUAGAGAGUACAAUUACUUGAUCAAAGACGAGAUACACUAAACAAUCGACGCUUUAGGGUACAGUGUACAGAAAAACGGUUACCUAGGUACCAUUUAAUGCCAAAGGAAAAACUUCUACUUAGAAUAUGUUAUACAAGAACUGCAUAGAUUAUUAACAUUAUUAUUGGGUUGUUUGUAUUAUGUAUAAACUUCAAGUCUAAAAUUGUAUCCAAUCAUAAUAAUAACUAUUUUACUUACCAGAUCAUAGGCUCAGAUGGUUUCUCAAUGAGUAAUCUUAUAUUACAUUUUCAAAUCUUAGAUUUAAAAAGAAAAAUUUUUUAUGAAUUCUCAACUCAAAAUAGUUUUCUAAUUUUCGUGAUUUUUCCGUAUUUUGUCAAAAUUUGAACUUUAAAUGCUUAUAAAUAAAAACUAUGACUAAGGAUUUUUAAUUUUUUCCAUCUGCCUUUGAAACACUAAAUAAAAAAAAAAGGAAAUUGACAAUGUCCAUAAACAGCUCAAAAUAAGUCAAAAUAUUUGGAAAUUGUUAUGGUGUAUAGGAAAUGCAAUUAUAAACAUUCAGUCAAAAUGUCAUGUACCCUUUAGAGUUACACCAAAAACCUUAUUUUCUCAAAAACAGAUUUUGCGUAAAAAUUCCCGUUUUUCCUUAAUUUUUCUUUUGUUUUUCACGUCGCUUUUGAAAACUACUGGGAAAUUUAUACUUUUGACCCCCCAAAGUACCAACUAGAUUCACUUUCCUAUCAGAAAAGUUAAUGUUGAAGAAAAUCCAAGCACUUUUACUGUCCUAAAAGGUGAUGACAAACACAAAAAUAAAAAAAAAUUCAAUACAUUCAUCGUUCCACUCAGAAUCUAAAACCGAGAUAAGUGCCUUAAAUUACAUAUUAUUUAUUUUUUAAAUUAAAACCAUAUUACCAAUUUAAAUUUAAAUUUAAAAACUUAGAUGCCUUGUUUAGAAUUGUUAUUGCUCUGUCGUGUAGUGUCGAGUCUCGAUUGUACCUCGUCAUAGAGAAGGUCACUGAUUUUUUUCUGAAAUGUCGAUAAAAAAAUGUUAUGCCACCCAAAAAAUCUAGAAAAUGUAAUACAAAGAACUAUUAUUGAAAUUUAAAAACGUGUUUGAACUUAGAAGUUCAUAUUUUAAUAUAUGCGUCAAAGUAACCUAUAUGACUCAAUGGCGAGGCCAACGCGAUACCCACUAUACAGCAGAGCGGUUAUACUUACUUUUUUUUUAAAUUAAUGAAACUUUAGAGGUGAUGCUGUGGACAGUGAUCUUGAAGAAUCUUCACUGCAAAUUAGAUUCAACAAUGUUGAUCAAAAUUCGAGUAAUGUCGAAGAGCCAACGGGAAGUAAUUUAGUUGACACACCAUUGACACCAGAGCAGUCAUUUUCUCAAUUAGAGAAUACACCUUGCCUUGAUGAAACGUUCUGGCCUUUAUCAGAUGACACACGCACUCCAUUUCACACACAUACGUUAUGUACGGAAACCAAUGAUAAUAAUGCCAAUCUUGAUUUGAAAGGGAACAUUUGGGAAAAAGUUUAUCAAUAACUGUUAUAAGAUAAGAUCGAACACAGUAAAAAGACGGCAGUUAUAUCCAGAAACACGAAAAGUACCAAAAAUGAAG
Metopolophium dirhodum (rose-grain aphid) is the source of this 5831-nucleotide RNA transcript. RefSeq lists it as uncharacterized. NCBI's taxonomy places the organism in Eukaryota, Metazoa, Arthropoda, Insecta, Hemiptera, Aphididae. The transcript has 10 exons. The record is from RefSeq and is a predicted model, not a curated record.